RNAcentral lists this ribosomal RNA (375 nucleotides) under uncultured dictyochophyte. RNAcentral's name for it is "SSU rRNA". It matches the Rfam family "Eukaryotic small subunit ribosomal RNA", at positions 451 to 828 of the family's 1831-position model. Lineage: Eukaryota; Dictyochophyceae. The record is from RNAcentral.
CUGACACAGGGAGGUAGUGACAAAAAAUAACUUAGUCGGGCCGUUUUCGGUCUGACUUUAGGAAUGAGAACAAUUUAAAUCCCUUAUCGAGGAUCAAUUGGAGGGCAAGUCUGGUGCCAGCAGCCGCGGUAAUUCCAGCUCCAAUAGCGUAUAUUAAUGUUGUUGCAGUUAAAAAGCUCGUAGUUGGAUUUCUGGUCGGAACGCCUGGCCGGCUCCGCAAGGGGUCGUUGCUUUGGUUUCUCCGUCCAUCCUCAGGGGGAGCUGCGCUGGUAUUCAUUUAUCGGCGUGGUCACGCCUGUCGUUUACUGUGAACAAAUUAGAGUGUUCAAAGCAAGGUGUACUUGAAUACAUUAGCAUGGAAUAAUAAGAUAGGAC